GGUGAACGCUGGCGGCGUGCCUAACACAUGCAAGUCGAGCGAACAGACGAGGAGCUCGUGCCCCUGACGUUAGCGGCGGGCGGGUGAGUAACACGUGGAUAACCUACCUAUUAUACGGGGAUAAUUUCGGGAAACCGGAGACAAUACUGGAUCAUAUAUUGAACGGCAGGGAUCAGUAGUUAUUGACGGUUUUCGUGUCACUUAUAGCUGGUGUCGCGUCGCAUUAGCUAGUUGGUAAGGUAACGGCUUACCAAGGCAACGAUGCGUAGCCGACCUGAGAGGGUGAUCAGCCACACUGGAACUGAGACACGGUCCAGACUCCUACGGGAGGCAGCAGUGGGGAAUCUUGGGCAAUGGGCGAAAGCCUGACGGAGCAACGCCGCGUGGGUGAAGAAGGUCUUCGGGUCGUAAAACUCUGUUAUUGGGGAAGAACAAAUGUGUGAGUAACCCUGCACGUUUUGACGGUACCUAAACAAAAAGCAACGGCUAACUACGUG
This 497-nucleotide ribosomal RNA is filed under the name uncultured bacterium. Its description in RNAcentral is "partial 16S ribosomal RNA". It matches the Rfam family "Bacterial small subunit ribosomal RNA", at positions 28 to 507 of the family's 1533-position model. The record is from RNAcentral.